RNAcentral lists this long non-coding RNA (572 nucleotides) under Malus domestica (apple). RNAcentral's name for it is "long non-coding RNA (MDOM_LNC008199)". The record is from RNAcentral. Lineage: Eukaryota; Viridiplantae; Streptophyta; Magnoliopsida; Rosales; Rosaceae.
AUGGUGAAAGAGAAGUAGAAAAAGAUUACAAGGAAAAUCACAAUCCGUGAAAACUUAAAAAAAAAAACUAUAUUAAUUUGUUUUGCUUUCUAUCUCUUGUGUCGUUCUCUUUCCUUUCUCCUCUCUCCCAUCAGCCUUCUUCACCCAUCCAAACAUAUCUUAAGCACACGUUUUCUUACUGGGAGUCCGAAUGAAUGGAUAUUUUCUAUUGCUUAUCCCACUCACUCUCUUUCUUACAUUGACUUGUUAGCUAUUUUGUUUGCAACUUACACUUUAAACUACUCAGCCAAUAGGAAGAAUGGAACAAAAAAGGAAUCCAACUCGAUUACAGGGCACUAUAGCUCGCGAAAAUUAGAAACUAAAAAUUAAAUGAUACCCAAACAAGCCGAAGUUUCAAGAGUCUUCUUUGUUGUUCCCCUUAAUGACAAAAGGGAGUCUUCUUUGUUGUUCCCUUAAUCACAGAAGUCGUCUGUAUGUAUCUACAUGCGGAUCUGCCAGUGCAUGUGAGUAAGAAGGACACGAUCGAGGAUUUGAGUAUACAUGCCAGAUAAUUUUUCCAGUUAAUUACUCAU